This is a long non-coding RNA of Alnus glutinosa, 786 nucleotides long. RefSeq lists it as uncharacterized. The transcript is spliced from 3 exons. NCBI's taxonomy places the organism in Eukaryota, Viridiplantae, Streptophyta, Magnoliopsida, Fagales, Betulaceae. The record is from RefSeq and is a predicted model, not a curated record.
UGGAGUGUUCCUUAGAGGUUUUUGGACUGUUAGGAUGUACCAGCCCACAUGAUUGAACAUCUUUUCAUUCUCAGUCUAAAUUCUUUGAAAAUUUAAGAGAAUUCCGGUCCAAUAAAGUUAGCCAAUCUUGAGCCAUUAUACCGCCACCAUGCAUAAAUACAGGCUUUUGCCUUUCUAUUUUUUUUUUAUAGCCUUGCUUGGAGAAUUUGUGUAGAAAAUUUUCUUUGUGAGAGAAGGAGAUUUUAGUUCUACUGACGGAUUUGGAUUUGGAUUUGGAUUUGAAUUUGAAUUUGUGUGUUUUUCACCGCCUUUUGUAUUCUAUAUUUUAUCACCAAAUUUGGUCUCCGUUUAUCAACUUUGUCACGACAAGACAAAAUAGAAAUGGCAUUUCAUGCGACACCAAAGAAUGGCGGGCUUCUGUUCUUCAUCCGUGCUUCAAUCCUACCAAUCUUGAUUGCCACCAUCUUUCUAAUGCAAAUGGUUUUAACUGAGGCAGAUCACAAUUGGAGGGUGGUUGUACGAAGAGUUAACCCAAGCCCUCCUCCCGCUCCCGUAAGGGGGUGGCGCGCUCAUGCAGAACUUCCACCGAGAUGUGAAUCAUGUAUACCCGUUUAUGUAAAUCCAAUAAGUCCACCACCGCCAGCAGCCCCCUAGCUAGUACUCCACAUUUUUCCUCGUUUUGAUUAAUAUUUUGAUUAACGUUUUUAUGCAUUUGCUUCAGAAAAUUGUAAUGCACUCGUAGAGUUUUCAAAAAUCCUAAAUGCAAAUUAAACAUCAUAUUUUCCC